RNAcentral lists this ribosomal RNA (643 nucleotides) under uncultured Actinomycetes bacterium. RNAcentral's name for it is "bacterial SSU rRNA". It matches the Rfam family "Bacterial small subunit ribosomal RNA", at positions 232 to 885 of the family's 1533-position model. The record is from RNAcentral. Lineage: Bacteria; Bacillati; Actinomycetota; Actinomycetes.
CGCGGCCUAUCAGCUUGUUGGUGAGGUAAUGGCUCACCAAGCCGACGACGGGUAGCUGGAGUGAGAGCUCGAUCAGCCACACUGGGACUGAGACACGGCCCAGACUCCUACGGGAGGCAGCAGUGGAGAAUCUUGCACAAUGGGCGAAAGCCUGAUGCAGCCACGCCGCGUGAGGGAAGAAGGCUUUCGAGUUGUAAACCUCUUUCAGCCGUGAAGAAGCGAGAGUGACGGUAACGGCAGAAGAAGCCCCGGCCAACUACGUGCCAGCAGCCGCGGUAAUACGUAGGGGGCAAGCGUUAUCCGGAAUUAUUGGGCGUAAAGCGCGUGUAGGCGGCCCUGUAAGUCGGAUGUGAAAUCCCAGAGCUCAACUCUGGAACUGCAUCCGAUACUGCAGGGCUUGAGGUAGGUAGAGGAAGGUGGAAUUUCCAGUGUAGCGGUGGAAUGCGCAGAUAUUGGAAGGAACACCGAUGGCGAAGGCAGCCUUCUGGGCCUCACCUGACGCUGAGACGCGAAAGCAUGGGUAGCGAACAGGAUUAGAUACCCUGGUAGUCCAUGCCGUAAACGAUGGGUGCUAGGUGUGGGGGACAGUUCACGUCCUCCGUGCCGAAGCCAACGCGUUAAGCACCCCGCCUGGGGAGUACGG